This 49-nucleotide microRNA precursor is filed under the name Echinococcus granulosus. RNAcentral's name for it is "microRNA egr-mir-10268 precursor". The record is from miRBase by way of RNAcentral. Lineage: Eukaryota; Metazoa; Platyhelminthes; Cestoda; Cyclophyllidea; Taeniidae.
GGAGGGUAUUAACCGAAGGCACAGAUUUGCCUUCGGCCCCACCCUUCCU